This is a small nucleolar RNA of Nothobranchius furzeri (turquoise killifish), 216 nucleotides long. Its record names the gene SNORA73. It matches the Rfam family "Small nucleolar RNA SNORA73 family". Rfam says of the family: U17 (SNORA73A and SNORA73B) also known as E1 belongs to the H/ACA class of small nucleolar RNAs (snoRNAs). NCBI's taxonomy places the organism in Eukaryota, Metazoa, Chordata, Actinopteri, Cyprinodontiformes, Nothobranchiidae. The record is from Ensembl.
CCGACAUGGACAUCCAGCGAGUGUCUCCUGGCUCUGUCCUGGUGGCGUAUGGGAGCGUAGCUCUGAGCUGAGACGUACAGUCCCGUUCCACGCUGUCGAACAGAAAGCUCCGUCCCCGGCUGCUGGCUGGUGAGGACGGGCGUCCUGCAUAUUCCUACAACUUCCCAGAGUCCUUUGGGGCCGUUACUGGGGAGCCAAACCAUGCAGGACACAGAU